This 467-nucleotide ribosomal RNA is filed under the name uncultured bacterium. RNAcentral describes it as "partial 16S ribosomal RNA". It matches the Rfam family "Bacterial small subunit ribosomal RNA", at positions 28 to 506 of the family's 1533-position model. The record is from RNAcentral.
GACGAACGCUGGCGGUGUGCUUAACACAUGCAAGUCGAACGGAAAGGCCCUGCUUUUGUGGGGUGCUCGAGUGGCGAACGGGUGAGUAACACGUGAGUAACCUGCCCUUGACUUUGGGAUAACUUCAGGAAACUGGGGCUAAUACCGGAUAGGAGCUCCUGCUGCAUGGUGGGGGUUGGAAAGUUUCGGCGGUUGGGGAUGGACUCGCGGCUUAUCAGCUUGUUGGUGGGGUAGUGGCUUACCAAGGCUUUGACGGGUAGCCGGCCUGAGAGGGUGACCGGCAAAAUUGGGACGAGAAUCGGGCCCAGACUCCUACGGGGGGGAGGGGGGGGGAAAAUUGCACAAGGGGCGGAAGCCUGAUGGAGAACCGCCGGGGGGGGGAAGACGGCCUUGGGGUGGAAAACCGCUUUCGCCUGGAACAAAGGGGGAGUGACGGUAAUGGGUAAAGAAGCACCGGCUAACUACGG